AGAGUUUGAUCCUGGCUCAGAAUGAACGCUGGCGGCAUGCCUAACACAUGCAAGUCGAACGAGACCUUCGGGUCUAGUGGCGCACGGGUGCGUAACGCGUGGGAAUCUGCCCCUUGGUUCGGAAUAACAGUUGGAAACGACUGCUAAUACCGGAUGAUGACGUAAGUCCAAAGAUUUAUCGCCGAGGGAUGAGCCCGCGUAGGAUUAGGUAGUUGGUGUGGUAAAGGCGCACCAAGCCGACGAUCCUUAGCUGGUCUGAGAGGAUGAUCAGCCACACUGGGACUGAGACACGGCCCAGACUCCUACGGGAGGCAGCAGUGGGGAAUAUUGGACAAUGGGCGAAAGCCUGAUCCAGCAAUGCCGCGUGAGUGAUGAAGGCCUUAGGGUUGUAAAGCUCUUUUACCCGGGAUGAUAAUGACAGUACCGGGAGAAUAAGCUCCGGCUAACUCCGUGCCAGCAGCCGCGGUAAUACGGAGGGAGCUAGCGUUAUUCGGAAUUACUGGGCGUAAAGCGCACGUAGGCGGCUUUGUAAGUAAGAGGUGAAAGCCCAGAGCUCAACUCUGGAAUUGCCUUUUAGACUGCAUCGCUUGAAUCAUGGAGAGGUCAGUGGAAUUCCGAGUGUAGAGGUGAAAUUCGUAGAUAUUCGGAAGAACACCAGUGGCGAAGGCGGCUGACUGGACAUGUAUUGACGCUGAGGUACGAAAGCGUGGGGAGCAAACAGGAUUAGAUACCCUAGUAGUCC
RNAcentral lists this ribosomal RNA (742 nucleotides) under uncultured bacterium. Its description in RNAcentral is "bacterial SSU rRNA". It matches the Rfam family "Bacterial small subunit ribosomal RNA", at positions 8 to 796 of the family's 1533-position model. The record is from RNAcentral.